AUGACUAGGGAUAACCUUAGGAAGAGACACAUCAUCAAACCCCUUGAUUGUGUUUACUGCUUGGAACAAGAGUCUUGUUCUCACCUAUUUUUUGAAUGUAUAGUUGCUAAACAUCUCUGGGCCCACAUUGAGGAAUAUUUCUCUAGUCAGAUUGGCUCAUCCUUCGAAUCUGUCGCCAGAUUCUUGAUUGCUACCAAAAAGUGCUCAGUUUUAAACACUGUUAGCUCAGCUGUCCUUUGGUGCCUCUGGAAAUAUAGAAAUGCUAUGAUUUUCAGUAACACCUCCUGGAUUUCCAUUCCGCGGGUCUUGAGGUUGAUCAGGAACAUGGUGAGGAACUAGGCGAUUCUCUCCUCCGGAUCGGACAAGGACAAGUUGAUGAGCUUCAUGGAAACCCUAACAAGAUCCCUCCAGAAACCGUUGGCAAUCACUUGUGGCUGA
RNAcentral lists this ribosomal RNA (438 nucleotides) under Triticum aestivum (bread wheat). Its description in RNAcentral is "partial small subunit ribosomal RNA". The record is from RNAcentral. Lineage: Eukaryota; Viridiplantae; Streptophyta; Magnoliopsida; Poales; Poaceae.